Molecule: non-coding RNA, 2355 nt
Organism: Microcebus murinus (gray mouse lemur)
Lineage: Eukaryota; Metazoa; Chordata; Mammalia; Primates; Cheirogaleidae
Source: RefSeq, a predicted model, not a curated record
UGUUUGUUUUUGGUGUUUUUCUACAGUUAGCCUCAUAGUGAAAAAUCAGAAAAAAAUCUAUUCCUGUGUGAGUCCCCAAGCCAGGUGUAACUUCCAAUCUUUCUGAUGACACAAGAUGCUGAAAGGCUGAGCAGAUAAGAGGGACACCUGUUCUGUUCACCCUAAGGAUGGAUCCAGAGAUCUGAGCCUCCCCAAGAUGUAAACUCCUACUUGGCUUUUUCCUUGCCACGUCCUCCUCCAUAUACUGGUGAUUGCACUUUCCUCGUCCAAGGUUGGAUGUUAGAGUAACAAACAGAAAGUUUUAAAAACCUUAACAUUUCUUGGCUAUUAUCUUUGGUGGAGAGAAACACAUCCCUCUGACUGCAGAUCUGACCUCAUUUAAAAAGAACCCUGCUGGGAAAUCUGACUGUUAUCUGGGAGCAUAGUUAAGGAAACAACAUCUUACCAAACUGGUAGCAAGAAAAGAAGUUUUCUAGAGUAGCUAGAAAACUCAGCAAUGAUUGUUAUCAAGGUGAGCAAUGAGCAGGUGGAAAAGGGAGCCAGAAAUCAGAGGAGACAGAGGACAGUGCAAGUAAGGGACAUAUGCCUAACUUUUCUGAUGCCAUCAGGUCCCAGGACCUAAAUGUUCCUGUCCCUACUACAACCAAAAAUCUUAGAGAAAGAAGUAGGGAUGGGAUGAGAUGAUUAGAGAGUCUGAGCUAUUAUUAUACAAAAGAGACUGAGAAUUUUUCGGGUUGAUGGUGCUGAGGAAGAUGAGAUAGAGCAAAUGGAGAAGCCGAGACUUUCUCUGCAUAUCUGAGUAGCAGUGGGAGUAAUACUGCAGCCUCCUACACAUAUAUUAAUAUGUGCAGGGCAGAUUUGCAACAACACAGCACCCUAGUGCUGCCCCAUCUAAUAUAAACUCUGAGCUGAUGUUUACCAUUUGGAAAUUUUAAGUCAAAGAACAUCAGAGGUGAGUCAAUCAUCUGUUGAAAUCACCUCAUUUUUCGAGGUUAAAAAAGCCCUGACUCCCUGAGAGUUUAAGGUCAACUGUUUGGUGGCAGAAACAGGACACAAACCCAGAUAUCAUGAGCUCGUGUCCCCCAUCCCACCAGCUAUUCAUCAUUACCUCCAAGUUCUGGAUCAAAGAAGCCAGUUUUUAAUUUAUCAAUGAGCAACAAAUAUAGAAUAUUUUAAAACUAUAAAUACAUGAAGGAAAAUGAAGCAAUAGGAAUAGACAUUUUCUUAGUCCCCUUCCAGCUCUAACGUUCUGUGAAGAAUAGCACACAGGAGCUUUGCUAUAGCACAACCCCCUCUAGUGCAUAAUUCAGCAUACGAUGAGUCUGAGUCUGUUUUGGACCCCAUCCAAAGGAUUUAGUUCCUAGAAGUACUCGAAAGAUUUUAUUCUCAUUUAUCAUGAAGCAUCCUAAAAGAAGGCUAAAAAUAAUCAUGAUGACAAUAAUAGUAAUCAGUGGUUACAUUUGUAUUGCGUACUAAGCAUCAUGCUAAGCAUGUUAUCAUAGCCCACUGUUUUUCAAAAGGCACAUCCAUGACCUUACGGUGUUGUGAAUCUAGUGGGUCAUGAAUAAUUUUUUAGAUAAAAGAAAAAUAAGAAAAAGGAGAGUACUUUAUAUAUAUUAAGUAUUGUUUUGCAAAACUUAUGCUUUGAUCGUGUGGCUAGUGGUUCAUUAAAAGAAAAAGUUUGAAAGCUACUGUCUCAUCUCCAAUCAGAACAAGUGUCUUGCUAGUUAAGUAUUAUUAGCACUAUUGUAUAAGUGAGGAAACAGGAUCAAAGAAAAUAAGUAAUUUGCCCAAGCUGACAUAGUGAGUGACCAAGCUAGAGUUUUGAACCUAGGUCUGUUAGAUUUGCAAUUGAAUAUUUUCAUUUCCAUAUUAAUGAUAAAUUAUUAACUAAGGUAUGGAAUAAGUUGUUGCUAAUCAUAUUUUCUUUGUGAUUUUUAUUAAAUCCAGCUAGAAUGGAGAACCACGGCAUAGAUUCAAGUGAUGUGUUCUGAAGAUACUGAGGAAUUUUAUAAAACACUAAAACUAACACCUGAGACCUUUUUCUACAGCUUUACCCAUUAUCCAUGCAAGGAGAUGAACCAACCUGGGACUAUUAACAGUCUUUGACCUCCAGAAGCACAAAAGCAAAUCAAGUCAGGCAGAUGUUCUCUGCCUUCCCCUGCGCAAAGACACCAGAGGCCACUGCUUGGCACUCAUGCUUUUGACUUUAUUUCUUCACUCAGAGAGACCUCCUGCAUGGUGAAUCUCAGGCUCUAAGAGAUAUCUACCCUGUACCAAGUGGAGAGACUGAAGAGGAUUUUGAUCUUCUGUCUGGAAUGAAAUAUACUUAACUGGAAUUGAAGAUGCAAGGAA